Long non-coding RNA from Homo sapiens (human), 365 nucleotides. RefSeq lists it as uncharacterized. Lineage: Eukaryota; Metazoa; Chordata; Mammalia; Primates; Hominidae. The transcript is spliced from 2 exons. The record is from RefSeq and is a predicted model, not a curated record.
AAUAGGCUGUGUAUUGUAGCAAAAUUUGUAAUGGAAUUUUUUUUUUAAAGAAGGAUUCCCAGAAUAUCACACUAUAAGCAUUGGACAACCUAGAGAUUUUGUGAAAAAUGAACACUCUUAAGGAAGAAGGAUUUUUUGCAUCUGUUUCAGAAAAUGACUGUGAGGAAAGUGUGGAAAGUAGAGUGCACAUUUGUAACACAAAGGGAGACCAUCUUCAAUUGAAAGUAACAACAUUUUAGCCCUUUCUAAUGACUCUUUUGUGCAAACGAAGGCCUCCUAAAAUUUAUGAAGAUGAUGAUGAUAAUAUUGUUUACGAUGUCCUAGAAUAAGAAUUCGCAUAAAUAAAAGAAGAAAAUCACAUUACA